RNAcentral lists this long non-coding RNA (1914 nucleotides) under Bos indicus x Bos taurus (hybrid cattle). Its description in RNAcentral is "lncRNA (ENSBIXG00005003482.1)". Lineage: Eukaryota; Metazoa; Chordata; Mammalia; Artiodactyla; Bovidae. The record is from RNAcentral.
CCGACUCUUUCUGACCCCAUGGACUAUAUGUCCAUGGAAUUCUCCAGGCCAGAAUACUGCAGUGGGUAGCCUUUCCUUUCUCUAGAGAAUCUUCCCAACCCAGGGAUCAAACCUAGGUCUCCCACAUUCCAGGCAGAUUCUUUACCAGCUGAGCCACCAGGGAAGCCCAAGAAUACUGGAGUGGAUAGCCUAUCCCUUCUCCAGGGGAUCUUCCUGACCCAGGAAUUGAACUAGGGUCUCCUGCAUUGCGGGCAGAUUCUUUACCAACUGAGCUACCAGGGAAGCCUUGAUGUGCAGGCAAACAGCAAUUCAAGUGAUGGCUGAUUUCUCAUAGAAAAGCAGAGGCCACAGAAAGACAUGGAUGAAGCCUGAAUACAUAUUGCUAAGUGUAAGAAGACCUGAAAAGCCUACCCGACGUGUGAUUCUAACACGUUGUUAUCUAGUUGCUCAGUCGUAUCUGACUCUGCGACCCUGUGAACUGCAGCACGCCAGGCUUCCGUGUCCUUCACUCUCUCCUGGAAUUUGCUCAGACUCCUGACCAUUGCCUCAGUGAUGCCCUCCAACCAUCUCAUCCUCUGUUGCCCCUUUCUUCUCCUGCCCUCAAUAUUUGAAAAGCCAAAGGACAGAUUUAAAUGAACAUGGAGAAACAUUGAAGUAAGAAAGCAGGAGAAGGGAACAGAGGGACAGAGGCCAGGGGGACAAACAAAGCAAACAGUGGAAUGGAGACAAAACCCAGUCGGACUGACGGUCACGGUCAAAGUCAACAGUCUGAACUCCCAACCCAAGGUUCAGGAUCACAGCCAGCGAUUACUAAACACCAUUCCACGGUGAGUCGGCAACCAUGUUACCCAGCAAGGCAAGGAGGGAGGAGCAGGGCUGAAGGCAGGCGAGUCCUGGAUCAGGGACCAGCGCUGACCCUGGGCUUAACCAGGGACCACGUGUGAUGACUGAGCCUCAGCCCGGGGCUAGGACCACCAUGGGCUUCCAGGACCUUGAAGACUGGUGGAGCUUCUGUUCAGAGGCCAGCGGGUCUGCUGACCACACUGCCCCGGGGUGCCCCACACCCCCAGGCGGGUUCCCUCAUUCCCUGUGGAGGCAACCUCGUGGGGCCCCAUGUCCCUCCACUGUCAGGGAACAGGAGUGUGUUCUCACCCACACAGCUGGAAAUCCCAGGUGGCCCAGUGAGCUGAGCAGCCCCAGAGCUCCCGUAGGAAGACUCUGCAACCCUCUGGUCAGUACGUGGGGAGCUGAUUUCACUCUGCAGGGAUCAACUGGCAAGAAGGUCAUCACCCAAAUGGACAACGUUCAGUUCAGUCGCUCAUUCAUGUCCGACUCUUUGUGACCCCAUGGACUGCUGCACACCAGGCUUUCCUGUCCAUCACCAACUCCUGGAGCUUUCUCAAACUCAUCUCCAUUGAGUCAGUGAUACUAUCCAACCAUCUCAUCCUCUGUCAUCCCCUUCUCCUCCUGCCUUCCAUCUUUCCCAGCAUCAGAGUCUUUUCCAAUGACUCAGUUCUUCCCAUCAGGUGGCCAAAGUAUUGGAGUUUCAGCUUCAGCAUCAGUCCUUCCAAUGAAUAUUCAGGACUAAUCCCUUUUAGGAUUGACUGGUUAGAUCUCCCUACAGUCCAAGGGACUCUCAAGAGUCUUCUCCAACACCACAGUUCAAAAGCAUCAAUUCUUCGGCGCUCAGCCUUCUUCACAGUCCAACUCUCACAUCUAUACAUGACCACAGGAAAACCAUAGCCUUGACUAGAUGGACUUUUGUUGGCAAAGUAAUGUCUCUGCUUUUUAAUAAGCUAUCUAGCAUGGUCAGAGCUUUUCUUCCAAGGAGCAAUCAUCUUUUAAUUUCAUGUCUGCAGUCACAUUCUGCAGGGAUUUUGAAGACCCAAAAAAUAAAGUCUGUCACUGUUUCCA